GAUGAACGCUGGCGGCGUGCCUAAUACAUGCAAGUCGAGCGGUAAGGCCCUUCGGGGUACACGAGCGGCGGACGGCUGAGUAGCGCGUAGGAACGUACCCCAAAGUGAGGAAUAAGCACCAGAAAUGGUGUCUAAUACCGCAUGUGGUCUUCGGAUUAAAGCCUUCGGGCGCUUUGGGAGCGGCCUGCGUAUGAUUAGCUUGUUGGUGAGGUAAUGGCUCACCAAGGCGACGAUCAUUAGCUGAUCUGAGAGGAUGAUCAGCCAGACCGGGACUGAGACACGGCCCAGACUCCUACGGGAGGCAGCAGUAGGGAAUUUUCCACAAUGGACGAAAGUCUGAUGGAGCAACGCCGCGUGCAGGAUGAAUGCCUUCGGGUUGUAAACUGCUUUUAUAGGUGAAGAUUAUGACGGUAACCUAUGAAUAAGGAUCGGCUAACUCCGUGCCAGCAGCCGCGGUAA
Molecule: ribosomal RNA, 459 nt
Filed under: uncultured bacterium
Lineage: Bacteria
Description: partial 16S ribosomal RNA
Rfam family: Bacterial small subunit ribosomal RNA
Source: RNAcentral